This 601-nucleotide non-coding RNA is filed under the name Streptomyces nanshensis. Its description in RNAcentral is "bacterial LSU rRNA". It matches the Rfam family "Bacterial large subunit ribosomal RNA", at positions 433 to 1019 of the family's 2925-position model. Lineage: Bacteria; Bacillati; Actinomycetota; Actinomycetes; Kitasatosporales; Streptomycetaceae. The record is from RNAcentral.
CCUGUGUGAAUCUGGCGGGACCACCCGUCAAGCCUAAAUAUUCCCUGGUGACCGAUAGCGGAUAGUACCGUGAGGGAAUGGUGAAAAGUACCGCGGGAGCGGAGUGAAAGAGUACCUGAAACCGUGUGCCUACAAGCCGUGGGAGCGUCGCCGUGUGUGCUUGCACAUGCGGUCGUGACUGCGUGCCUUUUGAAGAAUGAGCCUGCGAGUUUGCGGCAUGUUGCGAGGUUAACCCGUGUGGGGGAGCCGUAGCGAAAGCGAGUCCGAAGAGGGCGUGGAGUAGCGUGUUCAAGACCCGAAGCGGAGUGAUCUAGCCAUGGGCAGGGUGAAGCGGAGGUAAGACUUCGUGGAGGCCCGAACCCACCAGGGUUGAAAACCUGGGGGAUGACCUGUGGUUAGGGGUGAAAGGCCAAUCAAACUCCGUGAUAGCUGGUUCUCCCCGAAAUGCAUUUAGGUGCAGCGUCGUGUGUUUCUUGCCGGAGGUAGAGCACUGGAUAGGCGAUGGGCCCUACCGGGUUACUGACCUUAGCCAAACUCCGAAUGCCGGUAAGUGAGAGCGCGGCAGUGAGACUGUGGGGGAUAAGCUCCAUGGUCGAGAGGG